GAAGAAGCAAAUAUGAACACAUGUGAUACUUGAAGAAGAGAAAAUUAUUCUUGUGCAAGGAGCUUUUGAUAUCUUUUAAACUUCUCUGAAAAAAAUGAUGCAAAGAAGAGUCCAACAAUUAGAUUUAUUUUCUUGUCAAAUAGACAAAGGUGAAAAUGAAUUAGGGCUUUGUACUCGUAUCUUCUUUGAUCCAGCAGAUGAGGAUGAAAAGGAACCAGGUGUUUUUAUUACUGAAAUUGCUGAAGGGGGUGCAGCCCACAAACUUGGAUGUAUCCAUUUAUUUGACCAGAUUAUUAAAAUAGGUGAAACCAAUCUAAUUGGAUUAGAUGAAGAAGAAAUCUUCUCUACUUUUAAAAAAAAUGGAAAAUUGUGUUUUCCGGAUUGAAAUUGGAAGAGAGCCACCUGAAGUCAAGACAGAACUCAUCAUACUCCUUGAAUUGUCAGAGGAAAGGAAGAAAUUUUUUACAGAUUCAGUCAUAGUUCAGGAAAAAGUUGGAGAUAUCAAAAUUGUGAAAGGAAAAGCAAGAAAUUCUAAAACUCCGAAAAUAUCAUGGCUCUGGAUCACCAGAGAACUGGAAUUAAAAAAUGAAGAGAUGGAAUUGAAAAGAAUAAUAGAAGAAGAAGGUCAGAAAUAUAAAAAAGACCUCAAGGAAAUUGAUGAAAUGACUAACAACUUGAUAGAGAAACUUAAAAAAUACGUGAACAUAUCUGAAGUGAAUAUCGGAAAUCAGCCUGAGGAGACAGUAAAAGAAGAUAUAACAACAGGGCAAUUAUUGGCCGCAGAGGACAUCAGUUUAGAUAUCACAAUUAAAAAAGAACAAGUAGCAGAAUUAGUAGAAGAGGAGAUCAGCAGUGGCAAACCUGCAGUGGGAAAAGCUCCAAUGCAGUUUUCCUGGUUUUGCAAUGUCCAAGGAUACAAUUGGAGGAACUUCUUUUGUUUUAAAAAACAUGAUAAACAAGUAAAGAAUGUGCGCAAGCAGGAAGAAACUGACCUAAAGCUGCUGGUGUCUGACUGGACAGAAACUCAAGUGGGCCAUUGGUUAAAGAGUAUUGGAAUGAAAAAAUAUAUCCUGAAAUUUGAUUAUAAAAGAAUAAGAGGUCAAGAACUUCUUGAAUUAGACAAUGAUGCAUUAAAAUGCUUUGGAAUCACUAAGAAGAGAGAUCGUGACUUCCAGUCAAGAUGGCGGUGUAGAAGCAGCGAAAGUUCAGACCUCGGAAACCCUUCCCUACCGAUCCAAACAGAGUGCUCCUAAGCCACCGAAAUUCAAGCUGAACAACAGGAUAGACCUGGAGAAACCUCCUCCUGGACCUGGAUCAAAAGUUACCACACCCCAAAAGCCAGAACCCUAGAUCACUCGGAUCUAAGGGGUAGAUAGAAAGAAGGUCCCAGGACCCAUCCCCCCCAACCCAGAGUGCUGAGCCCAAGGCAGCAGCGGGAACCUCAGGGCUCUGAGGACUCACCUUGAAAGCAACUCGAGCCAGUCUCCGGAGGGCCCAACACAGAAGGCAGGGAAGCAUAGAGAGAAGGGGGAAGCCUGUGGCCCCCUGGCUGGGUUCUUCCAUCUGGGUCUCAGGGGAGGUCCCAGCCUUGGGGCACCAGCUGAGCCCAAUCCCAUAGGGAGCCCUCAGAGCUACUUAAAGGACAGAGGGCUCAGGGCUGGCAAAGAGGUGGCUCCGAAGAGCCUACUUUGAAAGUAACCCGGGCCAGUUUCCAGGCAUUCAACACAGACUGUGGAAGAGGAGGUUGCUGCUUUUCUCUUUCUUCUUUUUUUCGGCUCUGGGAUCAUUGGGCCCACACUACCUGAACCUAAUCCCAUCAGGAGCCAUCAGAGUCCAGGCAAGCCACGACCCCUCCCCCCUUAGAGAGCAGGGUCUUCUGAAAGGACCAGCUGAACCUAAUCCCAUCAGGAGCCCUCAGAGCUACUGAAAGGACAGAAAACUCAGGGCUGGCAAAGGGGUUGCUCCAAAGAGCUUUCCUUGAAAGUAACCCUGGCCAGUUUCUCGGCACUCAACACAGACUGUGGAAGAGGAGGUGGCUGCUUUUUUUUUUUCCUUUUUUUGGCUCCGAGAUCUUUUGGCCCACACCACCUGAACCUAAUCUCAUCAGGAGCCCUUUGAGUCCAGGCAAUCCACAACCCCUCCCCCCUUAGAGAGCUGGGUCUUCUGAAAAAACAGAAACCUAGACGUGAAGUCAAGAUGGCAGCCUAGAAGGAGCAUAGACCUGGCAGCCUGGCCAGAGCUUUAGAGAUCCUCCAUAUCUGCUCCAGCCGUCCAGGAAGUUUAAAACUCAGAAUAAACUCAGCCCAACUAGACUGAACUCA
This 2321-nucleotide long non-coding RNA is filed under the name Monodelphis domestica (gray short-tailed opossum). RNAcentral's name for it is "lncRNA (ENSMODG00000044181.1)". The record is from RNAcentral. Lineage: Eukaryota; Metazoa; Chordata; Mammalia; Didelphimorphia; Didelphidae.